RNAcentral lists this ribosomal RNA (583 nucleotides) under Scinax fuscovarius (snouted treefrog). RNAcentral's name for it is "partial 16S ribosomal RNA". It matches the Rfam family "Bacterial large subunit ribosomal RNA", at positions 1835 to 2620 of the family's 2925-position model. The record is from RNAcentral. Lineage: Eukaryota; Metazoa; Chordata; Amphibia; Anura; Hylidae.
GCGGUUAAAUAGGAGGGGUCCAGCCUGCCCAGUGACAAAUGUUCAACGGCCGCGGUAUCCUAACCGUGCGAAGGUAGCGUAAUCACUUGUUCUUUAAAUGAGGACUAGUAUGAAUGGCACCACGAGGGUUGCACUGUCUCCUUUCCCUAAUCAAUGAAACUAAUCUCCCCGUGAAGAAGCGGGGGUACUAAUAUAAGACGAGAAGACCCUAUGGAGCUUUAAAUUUCUCUUCAAACGCCAGACACAAACAUCUAACACUUUACAUUAACCCGACGCCUUGAAGAUGAAUUUUAGGUUGGGGUGACCAUGGAGAACAAAAUAACCUCCACGCUGAAAAGGCCUCCAAGCCUUGAGCCGAGGGCUACAACCCAACGCACUAAAAAAUUAACACCCAUUGACCCAAUAUUUUUGAUCAACGAACCAAGUUACCCUAGGGAUAACAGCGCAAUCUACUUCAAGAGUCCCUAUCGACAAGUGGGUUUACGACCUCGAUGUUGGAUCAGGGUAUCCCAGUGGUGCAGCCGCUACUAAAGGUUCGUUUGUUCAACGAUUAAAACCCUACGUGAUCUGAUUUCAGACCGGA